RNAcentral lists this long non-coding RNA (207 nucleotides) under Lathyrus oleraceus (garden pea). RNAcentral's name for it is "Pisum sativum (pea) long non-coding RNA (PSAT_LNC041975)". The record is from RNAcentral. Lineage: Eukaryota; Viridiplantae; Streptophyta; Magnoliopsida; Fabales; Fabaceae.
UUUAAGCAAGUUAGUAUGGCCCCUUGUUUUGCUGUUGGUUAGGCUGCUAAUUAGGUUCACAAUGACAGAAAAAAAUGAUGCAUAAUGCUGCUGUUCUUUUGAGGUACAAGGCAUGGUUGUGGGAUGGUAUGGACAAGUAUGGUGAAAUUGUACUUUUCUUACAAUUCAAGCAAUCAAGCCAUGGCCUCAUGCACUGCAUAAUUUGAG